AGUGGUAGAAUGCUCGCCUGCCACGCGGGCGACCCGGGUUCGAUUCCCGGCCAAUGCA
Non-coding RNA from Dictyocaulus viviparus (bovine lungworm), 58 nucleotides. NCBI's taxonomy places the organism in Eukaryota, Metazoa, Nematoda, Chromadorea, Rhabditida, Metastrongylidae. The record is from Rfam.